CGCGCUGCGCUGGCCACUUCAGGUCCCUUGGAUCGGCGACCGGAGGCUCUUCCCGGCCGGGCCGUCCCGGCCACGGCGCUCGAGCUGCACAGAAGUUGGGGAGAGUCGCCGUCUCCAUGGGAUAGUUUUGCUGGAUAUGGAAUCCUUGACUGACAGAUACUGUUCUUCCCAUACUUCAAAUAUGUCAUCCUCUGCCUUCUGGCCUCACGGUUUCUGGUUCCUGUGAUAAACACACGGCGAUUUCCUGACACUGCUUUAGAGCUUAGAAAAUUUGUUCGAGGUUGUGCAGCUUCUCAGCGGCACAUCUGGACAGAAGCCCAGCCUCUGACUCCACCCUCCCACUGCCCUGUGCCGCCACGGUCACCUUCGACACGGUCCCUUCCAGACCCUCCAGCCUGCAGCAGCCUCCCCCCGCCCCCGAUCCCCUCCUGGGGACCCUACUGCAUUCUCAGGUCGCGGUGCUGGCUAGGGACGACCGCCUCUGCCUUCCUGAGCGACCACCGUAUCCUCAGUCCUCCGUCCUCCUCGGAGUCUCUGUGUCUGAUACUGUCACCUCCUGCUUGACACCCUCUGUCCGGUGACGCGACAGUCCCGACGGCACCAGCAAUCUGACCGUCCCUUUCUGCUCACUCCCCUCAGCCUACUCUCUAGGACAGACUAGACUCUCUCUCAGAAGGCUGAUCUCUCUCCUGAUUUAAAUGACCAUCGCUACACGAGGCCUCGCGAUUUCUUCCCUUGUUAUCACGUUUAAGCUCUGGUGCCAUUUCUCUCGCUCCCGACAGACAUGUCCCUGCGAUGUCACACUGGACUGGCAGCAGGUCCGCCAUGGAACCCAGGACGUCCUUCCAGCUCAGGGCCCAACUUCACACUUUAGUUAGUGGUCCCCGCGGGGCCUGGAGAACACGCGGGAGAUUUUAGAUAAAACGUCUGAAACCUCUGUGGACUUGAAACAAAGAGCUGAAUUGGGACGAGUCACGCUUCCUCCUCCACUGUGACUGCUGCCCAGCCCCAGCCCCAGCCCCAGCCCGCCGCCCUCCAGGGCAGGUGGCCUCCUGAAGGCGGUGUCGCGUGGUCACAGGCCUGUGGCAGUCGGGGCGAGGAGCGCUGGUUCCCUUCUGCCGCUGAACUCGCUCCCGGCUGCUGCUCUGACCCGUCUUGCAGGGCGCAGGCGGCCCCCCUUCUCCGCGGGGGACGCGGUCCCCUGAAACCGCAGACAGCAGCGAACCCUGCACGUUACGCCUUUUCCUGUGCGCAGCUCCCCAUGGUGACGCCUGCGAGUUCGGCAGAGGCCGCCCAC
Long non-coding RNA from Pteropus alecto (black flying fox), 1297 nucleotides. RefSeq lists it as uncharacterized. Lineage: Eukaryota; Metazoa; Chordata; Mammalia; Chiroptera; Pteropodidae. The record is from RefSeq and is a predicted model, not a curated record. The transcript is spliced from 3 exons.